RNAcentral lists this ribosomal RNA (495 nucleotides) under uncultured bacterium. RNAcentral's name for it is "partial 16S ribosomal RNA". It matches the Rfam family "Bacterial small subunit ribosomal RNA", at positions 28 to 507 of the family's 1533-position model. The record is from RNAcentral.
GACGAACGCUGGCGGCGUGCCUAAUACAUGCAAGUAGAACGCUGAAGGAGGAGCUUGCUUCUCUGGAUGAGUUGCGAACGGGUGAGUAACGCGUAGGUAACCUGCCUGGUAGCGGGGGAUAACUAUUGGAAACGAUAGCUAAUACCGCAUAAGAGUAGAUGUUGCAUGACAUUUGCUUAAAAGGUGCAAUUGCAUCACUACCAGAUGGACCUGCGUUGUAUUAGCUAGUUGGUGGGGUAACGGCUCACCAAGGCGACGAUACAUAGCCGACCUGAGAGGGUGAUCGGCCACACUGGGACUGGGACACGGCCCAGACUCCUACGGGAGGCAGCAGUAGGGAAUCUUCGGCAAUGGACGGAAGUCUGACCGAGCAACGCCGCGUGAGUGAAGAAGGUUUUCGGAUCGUAAAGCUCUGUUGUAAGGGAAGAACGAGUGGGAGAGUGGAAAGUUCACACUGUGACGGUAUCUUACCAGAAAGGGACGGCUAACUACGUG